RNAcentral lists this ribosomal RNA (497 nucleotides) under uncultured bacterium. RNAcentral's name for it is "partial 16S ribosomal RNA". It matches the Rfam family "Bacterial small subunit ribosomal RNA", at positions 28 to 507 of the family's 1533-position model. The record is from RNAcentral.
GAUGAACGCUGGCGGCGUGCCUAACACAUGCAAGUCGAGCGAACACACGAUGAGCUUGUUCCUUUACCGUUGGCGGCGGACGGGCGAGUGACACGUGCAUCACCUUCUUAUAUUUCUGGGAUAAUUUCGUGAAGACGGUGACACUACCGGAUCAUAUAUCGAACCGCUUGGUUCAAUAGUUAAUGACGGUUUUGCUGUCUCUUAUAGCUGGAUCCGCGUCGCAUUAGCUAGUUGGUAAGGUAACGGCUUACCAAGGCGACGAUGCGUAGCCGAUCUGAGAGGAUGAUCGGCCACACUGGAACUGAGACACGGUCCAGACUCCUACGGGAGGCAGCAGUAGGGAAUAUUGGACAAUGGGCGAAAGCCUGACGGAGCAACGCCGCGUGAGUGAAGAAGGCCUUCGGAUUGUAAAGCCCUUUUAUUGGGAAAGAACAGAUGCGGGAGUAUAUAUGGCCGUCUUGACGGUACCUAAAGAGAAAGCAACGGCUAACUUCGUG